RNAcentral lists this ribosomal RNA (1351 nucleotides) under uncultured bacterium. RNAcentral describes it as "bacterial SSU rRNA". It matches the Rfam family "Bacterial small subunit ribosomal RNA", at positions 64 to 1399 of the family's 1533-position model. The record is from RNAcentral.
GAACGCAGAAGAGAGGAGCUUGCUCUUCUUGGAUGAGUUGCGAACGGGUGAGUAACGCGUAGGUAACCUGCCUUGUAGCGGGGGAUAACUAUUGGAAACGAUAGCUAAUACCGCAUAACAAUGGAUGACACAUGUCAUUUAUUUGAAAGGGGCAAUUGCUCCACUACAAGAUGGACCUGCGUUGUAUUAGCUAGUAGGUGAGGUAAUGGCUCACCUAGGCGACGAUACAUAGCCGACCUGAGAGGGUGAUCGGCCACACUGGGACUGAGACACGGCCCAGACUUCUACGGGAGGCAGCAGUAGGGAAUCUUCGGCAAUGGGGGCAACCCUGACCGAGCAACGCCGCGUGAGUGAAGAAGGUUUUCGGAUCGUAAAGCUCUGUUGUAAGUCAAGAACGGGUGUGAGAGUGGAAAGUUCACACUGUGACGGUAGCUUACCAGAAAGGGACGGCUAACUACGUGCCAGCAGCCGCGGUAAUACGUAGGUCCCGAGCGUUGUCCGGAUUUAUUGGGCGUAAAGCGAGCGCAGGCGGUUUGAUAAGUCUGAAGUUAAAGGCUGUGGCUCAACCAUAGUUCGCUUUGGAAACUGUCAAACUUGAGUGCAGAAGGGGAGAGUGGAAUUCCAUGUGUAGCGGUGAAAUGCGUAGAUAUAUGGAGGAACACCGGUGGCGAAAGCGGCUCUCUGGUCUGUAACUGACGCUGAGGCUCGAAAGCGUGGGGAGCGAACAGGAUUAGAUACCCUGGUAGUCCACGCCGUAAACGAUGAGUGCUUGGUGUUGGAUCCUUUCCGGGAUUCAGUGCCGCAGCUAACGCAUUAAGCACUCCGCCUGGGGAGUACGACCGCAAGGUUGAAACUCAAAGGAAUUGACGGGGGCCCGCACAAGCGGUGGAGCAUGUGGUUUAAUUCGAAGCAACGCGAAGAACCUUACCAGGUCUUGACAUCCCGAUGCUAUUUCUAGAGAUAGAAAGUUACUUCGGUACAUCGGUGACAGGUGGUGCAUGGUUGUCGUCAGCUCGUGUCGUGAGAUGUUGGGUUAAGUCCCGCAACGAGCGCAACCCCUAUUGUUAGUUGCCAUCAUUCAGUUGGGCACUCUAGCGAGACUGCCGGUAAUAAACCGGAGGAAGGUGGGGAUGACGUCAAAUCAUCAUGCCCCUUAUGACCUGGGCUACACACGUGCUACAAUGGUUGGUACAACGAGUUGCGAGUCGGUGACGGCGAGCUAAUCUCUUAAAGCCAAUCUCAGUUCGGAUUGUAGGCUGCAACUCGCCUACAUGAAGUCGGAAUCGCUAGUAAUCGCGGAUCAGCACGCCGCGGUGAAUACGUUCCCGGGCCUUGCACUCACCGCCCGUCA